UUCUUUAUUCACAGCUUUGUAACUUAUUUUUCCUUUAUAAUCAUUCAUCAUUGAAUCAAAGAUAAUCUUUUAUCUUGUAACAUUUUUUUUUUAGCAGAGGCCCAGUAGACGAAACAGAACACUUAAGAAAUAUGGGACUGAUAUAACAUCUGAUGGCACCGUCCCUUCUGCGGGAAUAGGUGCAUUACUCUCUACUUCAUCUGUACUAGCUCGUUCAGGAUCCAUAACUAUAAAAGAAAACAUUUUAAAAUCGUCAGGAGUCGUCACACUAUCAAAAUAUAUAAGUAUGGCAUGUAUAGGUAGACUCUUAUUCUUACUGAGUAUUUCCGAGAACCGACUAAACCUGCUCUGAUACCAAUAAAAUAUAACACCCCUUACCCGAGACCGUUUCCGGAAUCGAGCACGAGGCAUUACUUAGCUUAUCUUACCAAUUCGGAGCAUAAAAACUAGGUUUGAAAAUUUAUUUCAUUAUUCGCAGCAAAUCUGUCUAAUCGCGCAGCAGUUACUAAAUUAAUUAUAACUUGAGCUACAGAACUCGAAAUUUAAUCCCGUAAAUUUUCCAUGAAACUAGACUCAUAUAUAUACUCGCCAUAAAAUUUUUAGAAUUUUUGGUUCAGCAAAUUAGUACAGUUUAUUAGUUAAAGUCUCCCCUGUGUCACCACCAGACUGCCCUGACCUCUAGUCACUAAAAAUAAGUUUUCUCACUAUAGGAUUUUCAUAUGAAGUUCUUACUUGUUUCUAUAGAAAAUAGACUCAUUAAGAAAUCUAAGCAUGUAAAUUUCAACUCAUAACCAUUUUUUUACAAUUUUUUAUUAUUUUCUAAACUCAGAACAGGGGACUCCAAAAACAGUUCUGACCCUAUCUUACUAAAAUUCACAUAUCUUAAAAUAUAAAUUUCUUUUUUUCUACACCGUUAUUUUUCCAUGAAAAUAGACUCAACAAGCUUUAAUUCCAUAUAUCAUUCACCCUCUAAUUCAUUUUAUACUAUCUUGGGUGAUUUUUCAAAUUCACGUCACUGUGCUGCCUGAAUUCUGUUUCUUUGCAAAAUUUUAUCCUUUCAUGAUUUCCAUGCAUAAUUUAUCACCUAAUAUUUCAUAACAACAAACACCUUCAUCCUUAAUCAUUUUAAUAACCAUACAUCAUCAAAUACUUACACAUCACUCAUUAGCAAAAUCAUCACUACAAACAUACAAAAUAACUAAAUUCCUAUACAUGCCAUAACUUAAACGUGUUUCGAUAUAAAAUACCGAGCAGUUGUAGUUGAUAGUGUGGACGAUCUCCGACUUCUUUAGGAUCCUUGAAGUAGCUUUGCAAUACUAUAAGAGAAAGAAAUAAAAGAAGUAAGCAUAAAGCUUAGUAAGUUUACUAGCAAAUAAAUAACAAUAUUUAACUUAAAUAAUUAAACUCAAUGUCUAUAUCUCUAGUUUACUCUUUAGUUAAUCUCAUACUAGUUCUCUUACUUGUUUACUUAGAAUAUUUGUGUGCAUAACUUACUCAAUCCUUGCUGCAUCGUUGAACAUCAAUUGAUAGUAUAAUAAGUUCUUAAGUCUUACAACUUACCUGAGCUUGCCAUUUAUGCUUUAAAAACAUGAUUCGUUUACAAGCCCGUUGAACUACAUUGGAAUAAUAAGGAUACUCGGGUCUCUUCUGAUAAUAACAUGCCAAAGCCAUGUCCCAGACAUGGUCUUACAUGGGAUGUUCUCGUGAUGGUGCCCAUGCCAUGUCCCAAACAUGGUCUUAUAGGGGACCUCUCAUCUCGGUGCCAACGCCAUGUCCCAGACAUGGUCUUACAUGGGACCUCUCGUCUCGGUGCCCAUGCCAUGUCCCAGACAUGGUCUUACAGGGGACCUCUCAUGAUCUUAAGGAUGCCAAUGCCAUGUCCCAGACAUGGUCUUACAUGGGAUCUCUUUACCCAAAUGUCAUGACAUUCGUAUCCAGUACCAUCCUUAUGUAUCAACGGGACUUUUAAAUUUUAAUUCUCUAUCAUUUCAUGCUUGGAUCAUCAUCAAAUAAAUUCAUAAAAUAAAUUCAUAAUUGCUGGAAAUUAACAGCAUUAAUAAUAAAUAUUGAAAUAUUGCAUUUAUUUACCGUAAACUUACCUCGGUACCAAUUAUAGCCAAAUUCACCAACUUAGUCUUCAACUUUAUUCUUCCCUUUGUCUAACCUCGAGUUUCGUACUUCUUGAUCUAAAAUAGUAAAUUUAACUUAUUUAAUAAUCACAUUCAUCAAAAUAGCCCUCGACUCUAACUUUUUCAAAAUUACAAUUUUGCCCCUAAACUUUUACAUAAUUACAUUUUUGCCCCAAGGCUCGGAAAUUAAACUUCAUCUCUUAUUCUUAUGUUUUAUAACAUUCUGAACAUUUUUCCCUUCUAUGGCAACAUCAAAUUCUAAUUUAAUCCCUUAUCAAUACUAAUUUUAUUUUUGCAUUCUAACUCUAUAUUCUCUCUUAAUUCUUACUAUAAAGUCAAUUUAAUUCCUCAAUUUCACCAUAAAUCCCUAAUUUCGGGAUUCUUUCAAUUUAAUCCCUAUCGAUUCAAAACUUAUAUUUUAUUUUACAAUUAUGUUCUUUACUAACUUCUAACUUGAAAUUAAAUCAAUUUAACCCCUAACUAAACCUAUAUAUUUUUCUUUCUCAAUUCAUACCCUUAUUCUACCCAAUUUCUUGCUAAACUCAUAUUUAACUAUUUAAUUUUUAUCAUGUUUUCAUAAUUCCGAAUUUAUUUCAAAUUAAUCCCUAAAAUUCAAAACUUAUAGUUUAGUUUACAAUUCAAUCCUUUAUUCAAUUCCAAUCAAAAUUUCUAUCAAAUACAUCCCUAAUUUAACAAUUUAUUCAACAUGAACCAUGCUUAAUAAUCUACUAACUUCCAAAAUUUCAACUUAAUCAAGUAGUAUUUUGUUCUAGGAUUUCAAAAAAAAUAUCAAAAUUAAGAGAAAAUGGGAUUAAAUUGACUUACCAAAUUACUUUGAACCUUAAAACCCCAAAUUUCCCUUUUUCUUUUCUUUUCUUUCUUUCUUUCUUUCCUUCCUUCCUUCUCUGUUUCGUUUUGCUCUCUGUUUCUUUCUUUCUCCCUUCUCUGUUUUGUUUUGCUCUCUGUUUCUUUUCUUUCUUUCUUUGUCAUAUAUAUAUAAUAAUAAUAUAAUAUAAUAUAAUAUAAUAUAUUAAU
Molecule: long non-coding RNA, 3164 nt
Filed under: Gossypium barbadense (sea-island cotton)
Lineage: Eukaryota; Viridiplantae; Streptophyta; Magnoliopsida; Malvales; Malvaceae
Description: long non-coding RNA (GBAR_LNC013128)
Source: RNAcentral